This 376-nucleotide long non-coding RNA is filed under the name Brassica napus (rape). RNAcentral's name for it is "long non-coding RNA (BNAP_LNC018987)". Lineage: Eukaryota; Viridiplantae; Streptophyta; Magnoliopsida; Brassicales; Brassicaceae. The record is from RNAcentral.
AAAAUUAAUACUAUAAAUAUAUAUAUUAUAUUUUAUAUUUAGGUUUAGGGUUUAUUAAUUAGGAUUUAGAGUUUAGUAUUGAAGGGGAGGGGGGGUUAGAGUUAGGGUUUAUGAUUAUAUAUAUUAUUUAUAGUAUGGUGAUUAUAUUAUUCAAAGUUAGGGUUUAUGAUUAUAUCUAUCAAAUUACUAUAAGUUCUACACUAUUUUAUAUGAUGUUCAAGUUUAUUAAUUUAUAUAUGUAAAUGAAAUAGACUAUAAACUAUAUACUAUUUAUAGAGAGUUCAUAUUAUGUCUUAUCUAUGAAAAAAUUGUUUUCAAUAAUCAUGCAUGGUUGUUUCGCCGCUUGUUCCACCCUCUUUAAUUUAAGAAAUUGAGC